GCUUCGGAGGCUCGUACUUGGCAGCGCCGUGGGAGUUUGUUUUCCUUCGUGUUGUGCAAACAAACAAGAAUUCAAGACGGAACCUUCGUUUUCACCGUUUUGCAAGAGCUCAUGAAAAAGAUCCCUAGAAUGGUGGAAGAUUGUCGACAGGCCGGAUUUGCUUACGAAUACUUGCCAGCAACUUGAUAACAUCUUCAAGUUAUUUUUAAAACAUUUUGAGUUCGGGAUGCAAAUGAAUCCCACAUUUCCACACCUGACACAUUUAGCUGUCCCAAACAUACCCGAUCAAGUCAUGCAAGGUGCAGCUGCCUUUAUGUCGAGUGUUGUCGCUACAGCCACUGGCGCCACCAUCGCCACCUUCACACAUAUGAUGUCGGUUCCAACUAUUCUUGAGUUGAAUAUUGCAACGACUCCAUAUGAUCACACCUACGUGCUUGGAUCCUGAACAGAGUAGAAAUAUCAACCAGCAAAUGCAGAGCAAAGGAGAUGGUGCAUUUGCGCUCCAGGAGUAAGCGACAAUGGCAGUUAAUUUGCAAGUAAAAGCAAAGGGUAAAACGACAAGAAACAAUUCGCCGGUAAGCACACUGAGAGUACGACCGACAGAAAUUAGCACAUUUUUGAGAGAUUGAAAGAAAACAUAAAGAUGCCAGACGAGAGUAACCAGGUGUGUUUAUGGCUCAGUGUAAUAUCCAUUUAAAGAAGUAUUCUUUGAUUAUCAAAAGGAGAAUAGUAUUGUUGUCAAAGAUUAUGGACUUCAUGGACAUUCUUGAGCACCUGUUGCACAAGCGCUUUCAUUUAUGGUACAGAGCAUAAAAAGUUGGUGGAAACAAGUGUUAGGUUACAUGUCCAAAAAUGAAAUAAAAU
Long non-coding RNA from Penaeus monodon (black tiger shrimp), 864 nucleotides. RefSeq lists it as uncharacterized. The record is from RefSeq and is a predicted model, not a curated record. Lineage: Eukaryota; Metazoa; Arthropoda; Malacostraca; Decapoda; Penaeidae. The transcript has 5 exons.